CAGAAUUUCAUAGAAAUAGUUUUAUUUCAUUUAUUGGUAAGAAAUGUUGGCCACCAAAUUUGAGAUGUCAGCUCUUACAGGAAUAGAGAGAGCUCUAGAAAACCCCCUCUGGAGACUGCAUUUUUUCCAGAAGAAUAGCUAUUACCCGUUCCAGAAAGUUUGUGAAGUCACUGUCUAUAAAAUACCAUGGGAAGGUACAUAUUGGAAAGCCAGAAGGGCUUCUGAUUAUAGCCACUUAUAAUGAGUCUCAUUCCUUUUACAUUUUUUUUUCCCGAGUUUUCAAGGAGGAUAGCAAAGUUUUUGUUGAUUUUUUUUUUUUCCCCUCCACCCCUUUUAGAAGUGUAUUAAGCAGUUGCACUAACUGUUUAUUCAUCCGGAUCCACAGCUCAGUCAUGGGUAAAUUGGUCUUUUCUGAUCCUCAGGAAACAACUUCAGCAGAUGGUUUUCAUCACUGCAUCAGUACAAGCACUGUGACCAGAAGAGUUCUCUUUUAGAUGGAUUUCCUUUCUAGAGACCUAAAGAGCUGCUCAUUAAUCAGACACUGCUUCUGGGGACAGCAGGAAAACAGAAGAAAAAGGAGGCCCUUACACUUAGUGUUCCUCAGUCCAAUCUCAAGACUAAACAACUUGCACAGACUUACAAGGGGAGGCCAGUGUUACAAGUGUUAGCAGUGCACGUGCUCACAGUGUUUCAAGAAUAAAAAACUAACACAACAGAAAAAUAAGACUCA
RNAcentral lists this long non-coding RNA (730 nucleotides) under Anas platyrhynchos platyrhynchos (common mallard). RNAcentral describes it as "lncRNA (ENSAPLG00000023379.1)". The record is from RNAcentral. Lineage: Eukaryota; Metazoa; Chordata; Aves; Anseriformes; Anatidae.